RNAcentral lists this ribosomal RNA (559 nucleotides) under uncultured bacterium. Its description in RNAcentral is "partial 16S ribosomal RNA". It matches the Rfam family "Bacterial small subunit ribosomal RNA", at positions 355 to 902 of the family's 1533-position model. The record is from RNAcentral.
UGGGGAAUUUUGGACAAUGGGCGAAAGCCUGAUCCAGCAAUGCCGCGUGUGUGAAGAAGGCCUUCGGGUGCUGAUAAGCACUUUUUGUCCGGAAAGAAAUCCUUGGCUCUAAUACAGUCGGGGGAUGACGGUACCGGAAGAAUAAGCACCGGCUAACUACGUGCCAGCAGCCGCGGUAAUACGUAGGGUGCAAGCGUUAAUCGGAAUUACUGGGCGUAAAGCGUGCGCAGGCGGUUUGCUAAGACCGAUGUGAAAUCCCCGGGCUCAACCUGGGAACUGCAUUGGUGACUGGCAGGCUAGAGUAUGGCAGAGGGGGGUAGAAUUCCACGUGUAGCAGUGAAAUGCGUAGAGAUGUGGAGGAAUACCGAUGGCGAAGGCAGCCCCCUGGGCCAAUACUGACGCUCAUGCACGAAAGCGUGGGGAGCAAACAGGAUUAGAUACCCUGGUAGUCCACGCCCUAAAACGAUGUCACUUAGUUGUUGGGGGAUUCAUUUCCUUAGUAACGUAGCUAACGCGUGAAGUUGACCGCCUGGGGAGUACGGUCGCAAGAUUAAAACUU